Transfer RNA from Stereum hirsutum FP-91666 SS1, 94 nucleotides. It matches the Rfam family "tRNA". From Rfam's summary of the family: Transfer RNA (tRNA) molecules are approximately 80 nucleotides in length. Their secondary structure includes four short double-helical elements and three loops (D, anti-codon, and T loops). Further hydrogen bonds mediate the characteristic L-shaped molecular structure. tRNAs have two regions of fundamental functional importance: the anti-codon, which is responsible for specific mRNA codon recognition, and the 3' end, to which the tRNAs corresponding amino acid is attached (by aminoacyl-tRNA synthetases). tRNAs cope with the degeneracy of the genetic code in two manners: having more than one tRNA (with a specific anti-codon) for a particular amino acid; and 'wobble' base-pairing, i.e. permitting non-standard base-pairing at the 3rd anti-codon position. NCBI's taxonomy places the organism in Eukaryota, Fungi, Basidiomycota, Agaricomycetes, Russulales, Stereaceae. The record is from Rfam.
AGCUCGGUAGCGCAAUGGUAGUGCAUCUGUCUUCUGUAUGGUGACCAGCGUAAAGGUUAACGGAAAGUUCUCGGUUCAACUCCGAGUCGAGCUG